Molecule: ribosomal RNA, 632 nt
Filed under: uncultured Bacteroidales bacterium
Lineage: Bacteria; Pseudomonadati; Bacteroidota; Bacteroidia; Bacteroidales
Description: bacterial SSU rRNA
Rfam family: Bacterial small subunit ribosomal RNA
Source: RNAcentral
UGGUGGCGACCGGCGCACGGGUGAGUAACGCGUAUGCAACCUACCCUUUAGAGGGGGAUAACCCGGCGAAAGUCGGACUAAUACCGCAUAAAACAGGGGCACCGCAUGGUGAUAUUUGUUAAAAAUUUAUUGCUGAUAGAUGGGCAUGCGUUCCAUUAGGUAGUUGGAGAGGUAACGGCUCACCAAGCCUACGAUGGAUAGGGGAACUGAGAGGUUGGUCCCCCACACUGGUACUGAGACACGGACCAGACUCCUACGGGAGGCAGCAGUGAGGAAUAUUGGUCAAUGGGCGAGAGCCUGAACCAGCCAAGUCGCGUGAAGGAAGAAGGAUCUAUGGUUCGUAAACUUCUUUUGCAGGGGAAUAAAGUGCAGGACGUGUCCUGUUUUGUAUGUACCCUGAGAAUAAGGAUCGGCUAACUCCGUGCCAGCAGCCGCGGUAAUACGGAGGAUCCGAGCGUUAUCCGGAUUUAUUGGGUUUAAAGGGUGCGUAGGUGGUUUAAUAAGUCAGCGGUGAAAGUUUGCAGCUUAACUGUAAAAAUGCCGUUGAAACUGUUAGACUUGAGUGUAAAUGAGGUAGGCGGAAUGCGUGGUGUAGCGGUGAAAUGCUUAGAUAUCACGAAGAACUCCGAUUG